AGCGAACGCUGGCGGCAGGCCUAACACAUGCAAGUCGAACGAACUCUUCGGAGUUAGUGGCGGACGGGUGAGUAACACGUGGGAACGUGCCUUUAGGUUCGGAAUCACUCAGGUAAACUUGUGCUAAUACCGAAUGUGCCUUUCGGGGGAAAGAUUUAUCGCCUUUAGAGCGGCCCGCGUCUGAUUAGCUAGUUGGUGAGGUAAAGGCUCACCAAGGCGACGAUCAGUAGCUGGUCUGAGAGGAUGAUCAGCCACAUUGGGACUGAGACACGGCCCAAACUCCUACGGGAGGCAGCAGUGGGGAAUCUUGCGCAAUGGGCGAAAGCCUGACGCAGCCAUGCCGCGUGAAUGAUGAAGGUCUUAGGAUUGUAAAAUUCUUUCACCGGGGACGAUAAUGACGGUACCCGGAGAAGAAGCCCCGGCUAACUUCGUGCCAGCCGCCGCCGUAA
RNAcentral lists this ribosomal RNA (449 nucleotides) under uncultured bacterium. RNAcentral's name for it is "partial 16S ribosomal RNA". It matches the Rfam family "Bacterial small subunit ribosomal RNA", at positions 29 to 523 of the family's 1533-position model. The record is from RNAcentral.